This 274-nucleotide ribosomal RNA is filed under the name uncultured bacterium. Its description in RNAcentral is "partial 16S ribosomal RNA". It matches the Rfam family "Bacterial small subunit ribosomal RNA", at positions 523 to 796 of the family's 1533-position model. The record is from RNAcentral.
AUACGGAGGGGGUUAGCGUUGUUCGGAAUUACUGGGCGUAAAGCGCACGUAGGCGGACUGGAAAGUUGGGGGUGAAAUCCCGGGGCUCAACCCCGGAACUGCCUCCAAAACUUCCAAUCUAGAGAUCGAGAGAGGUGAGUGGAAUUCCAAGUGUAGAGGUGAAAUUCGUAGAUAUUUGGAGGAACACCAGUGGCGAAGGCGGCUUACUGGCUCGAUACUGACGCUGAGGUGCGAAAGCGUGGGGAGCAAACAGGAUUAGAAACCCUAGUAGUCC